Molecule: transfer RNA, 73 nt
Filed under: Halisarca harmelini
Lineage: Eukaryota; Metazoa; Porifera; Demospongiae; Chondrillida; Halisarcidae
Description: tRNA-Phe
Rfam family: tRNA
About the family: Transfer RNA (tRNA) molecules are approximately 80 nucleotides in length.
Source: RNAcentral
GUUCGGGUAGCUCAAUUGGGAGAGCAAAACACUGAAAAUGUUUGGGUUAUUGGUUCAAAUCCAAUCUUGAGCA